RNAcentral lists this ribosomal RNA (458 nucleotides) under uncultured bacterium. Its description in RNAcentral is "bacterial SSU rRNA". It matches the Rfam family "Bacterial small subunit ribosomal RNA", at positions 340 to 786 of the family's 1533-position model. The record is from RNAcentral.
UACGGGAGGCAGCAGUGGGGAAUAUUGCACAAUGGGCGAAAGCCUGAUGCAGCUAUGCCGCGUGUAUGAAGAAGGCCUUAGGGUUGUAAAGUACUUUCAUCGGGGAGGAAAAACAAAACUAAUAAUUUUAUUUCUUGACGUUACCCGAAAAAGAAGCACCGGCUAACUCCGUGCCAGCAGCCGCGGUAAUACGGAGGGUGCUAGCGUUAAUCAGAAUUACUGGGCGUAAAGAGCACGUAGGUGGUUUUUUUAAGUCAGAUGUGAAAUCCCUGGGCUUAAACCUGGAACUGCAUUUUGAAACUGAAAUACUAGAGUAUCGUAGAGGGAGGUAGAAUUCUAGGUGUAGCGGUGAAAUGCGUAGAUAUCUGGAGGAAUACCUGUGGCGAAAGCGGCCUCCUAAACGAAUACUGACACUGAGGUGCGAAAAGCGUGGGGAGCGAAAACAGGGAUUAGAUACC